AACUUUUGAAGGGUAAACCAAGUCUGGAUACUAAGUUAAUUGCUGGAGUACCCCCGGCUGAAAUUCUGGCCAGAUGUGAGUUUUUGGAGCCAUUAUCUGAAGCUACUUUGUCAGAUUAUGAGUGGCUGGUUGCUAAUCUGCAAAAACCUGCUCCUGUCUUGAUGAAAAGGGUGCAACGUUACUUGUCAUCAUUAAUCUUUAGCUAAAGGUACAUUGAAAAGUUCAUGGCACUGCAUACCAGUCAUUAUAAUUGGGCCAGGGCAAUUGGGUCUGGGCAAUUACGUCAGAGCAUAACUUCAUUAGGAAAAGAGGCUUCAGCUACGUUAAAUAUUACAGGAUGUACUGAGAUGGCUGAAGUUGUUGAGGUUGUACGAGAAACGAAAGAUGAGUGUUUGUUUGAACAAAGUUGUUGCCAAUCUUGCAGAGUUCGAGAAGAAAGAUCACGAAGCGAAUGCCACCGAUUUCUUCAUCAUUGUAGCCUCCAUAGUUGAAGUUUCCUCAUUUGAAGCUGUUUACGCAUAUGCUUUUUCCCUUCUCAAUUACAGGAAAUUGAAGAAUUAACCAGAUGUGAUAUGCUGAAAGAGGGAAGUUUUCUUCCUUGAAUGUGGUCUUUGUGAUUUGUCUUGAAGGAAUAGGGUGAUCACUGGCAAGAACCCUAUCAAGGUAGAUUUUAUGAUGUUAACAUAUCAUUAAGCAUUUUGUUACAUCAGCAAUGAUGCUUUCAUAGCAUGAAAGUGUUUAAAUUUAACUGAAUGAUCUUGAUUGAUCAAUUAUGAGUUUUAAUCGAGUAAAAACUAAAUACAAUAAUCGUUAACAAAUACUGAAAUUGGGUAAAUAUGAUCUUGAUAUUGAAGAAUUUGAAAUCACAACCCACACAGGAAAUCACCCUUCGCGUGGGGAUGGAGAUGUUUACUGCAGCGAUAUUGAAUAUGUCCACUGCUCUUUGGGUUAUGGUGCGGCUUGCGAUUUCAAGGUUGCCCUGAAACAAUGGAAAAGAUUAACAUACCCUCCAAUGAAUGAAAACGGCUGGACUAGUUCUGAUUACCUAAUUGACUCAGGAUCGGCUGGCAAUAAUAACAGUUUAUUAACAAUGCACAGUCCUAGUACUUUUCCAGGAUCAGAUACGACUUGGUCUAAUGUUGAUAUUAAUAGUUUAUUAAAUGACAAAUAAAAUACAUUCUGAGAGAUGCUGGUCUACUGUUGCAAGCCCCCAGAUUUAAGAAUCUUUUGAUGAUAAUUUAUCACCUGUAACUGUGCCGGAAGAUUCAACUAGAUGAUAAUUUAAUUGAUAUGGACAGUUUCCAACUUUUCAUAUCACUUUUAAAUCAUCUUAUGUAAUUGUGAUGUUAGGAAGCAUUAGUGAUCUACAUGUGAACUAUUAUUGGCGCCAUUGGUGGUUUUAUUUUAUUAAAAUAUGGAUGACUUCCCGAUACUAUUUAGUUGUAGAUAAUCUUAUCAAUUAACAUAUAGUUUAAAAUCAUUAUGCAAAUCAAUCUAUUAAUUUUCAUGAUAUUUAACUGAGUUAAAACUAAGUGCAUUCAAUAAAUCUCUCUUCCUUUAAAAAAUUGUUGCGCUUUAAUUUUAGUGCUUAAUACUUACUGAACUCCAAUACAGGAAAUUUGAAAUCAAACUCGUAACUACAGAUUAUCUAAUUGCAAGUUUCUAUCCAUAGCUGCUGAUUUGUAGUGAUUAUCUAAUUGACUGAGGUGACAACAAUUUUUUUUUUUAAUUAUCUAAUUGCAAGUUUCUAAAAAUUGUUGCGCUUUAAUUUUAGUGCUUAAUACUUACUGAACUCCAAUACAGGAAAUUUGAAAUCAAACUCGUAACUACAGAUUAUCUAAUUGCAAGUUUCUAUCCAUAGCUGCUGAUUUGUAGUGAUUAUCUAAUUGACUGAGGUGACAACAAUUUUUUUUUUUAAUUUUCAAUCGCACAAUGUGGAAUUCAAUAAUUAAAUUCUCCAGUAUAAUUUGUUUCAAGUUAAAUUAUUAAUUACUUAAACUCUGUUUUAAGUCUUUAAUUUUAUGUGUUUAUGCAGAAUUGGAUUCUCGGGACCCUUCAAUGAAUUUCUAGCCCCGUUGACUCCACCGACAAAAGUUUUGGAAAAAAAAAAAAAAUUAAUAGAAUUCCACCAAAUAGUUUGUAAUUGACCAAUUUCAAAAAAAUUAAAUUAUGUGGUUAUUAGCUGUAAUGAAAGGGGAUAGUAGGUGCAAUCAGGUGGAUCCUGGAAAGUUAAACAAAGUUUUGGUAUGGCGUAGUGAAAUUGGUUUGUGCAACUCAGGAGUCUUUCAGGUGAACGAUGAUAGGUUUUGAUUUAUGAAUAUUAUAAAUCUACUGUGCAUAGUAUUCUAGUAGAAUCAUCUAUAAGUUCUAGUUAUUGUAUACUUUGCCCGGUUUGAGUUAAGGGCACAUGUAAUAUGAAAGAUAGUUGUCGCAUCUUUUAGGUUACCUAACAUUUGAUCAAUCCUAUUAUGGGGGCUUCAAGAUGUCUAACAAUAUGUAGAAUGCCCAUGCUCCUCCCCAUUGUUUAUCAAUUCGUCACGCUGGUUAAGUUGCCUGAAGAACUUCUGGAGGGUAAACCAAGUCUGGAUACUAACUUAAUUGCUGGAGUACUCCCGGCUGAAAUUCUGGCCAGAUGUGAGUUUUUGGAGCCAUUAUCUGAAGCUACUUUGUCAGAUUAUGAGUGGCUGGUUGUUAAUCUGCAAAAACCUGCUCCUGUCUUGAUGAAAAGGGUGCAACAUUACUUGUCAUCAUUAAUCCAAAGCUUUCUAGCAAGAGCGACAUUGAAAAGCUAAUGGCGCUGCAUGCCAAUCAUUAUAAUGCUGUCAGGGCAAUUGGGUCAGGGCAAUUAGGUCAGAGCAUAACUUCAUUAGGAAAAGAGGCUUCAGCUACGUUAAAUAUUACAGGAUGUACUGAGAUGGCUGAAGUCGUUGAGGUUUUACGAGAAACGAAAGAUGAGUGUUUGUUUGAACAAAGUUGUUACUGCAGCGAUUUUGAAUAUGUGCA
RNAcentral lists this long non-coding RNA (3003 nucleotides) under Citrus sinensis (sweet orange). Its description in RNAcentral is "long non-coding RNA (CSIN_LNC004954)". Lineage: Eukaryota; Viridiplantae; Streptophyta; Magnoliopsida; Sapindales; Rutaceae. The record is from RNAcentral.